UACGAAGGGGGCUAGCGUUGCUCGGAAUUACUGGGCGUAAAGCGCACGUAGGCGGCUUCUUAAGUCGGUGGUGAAAUCCUGGAGCUCAACUCCAGAACUGCCUUCGAUACUGGGAAGCUCGAGUCCGGGAGAGGUGAGUGGAACUGCGAGUGUAGCAGUGAAAUGCGUAGAUAUCGAGAGGAACACCAGUGGCGAAGGCGAGUCCCUGGACAACUCCUGACACUGAGGCACGAAAGCUAGGGGAGCAAACAGG
RNAcentral lists this ribosomal RNA (253 nucleotides) under uncultured bacterium. RNAcentral's name for it is "partial 16S ribosomal RNA". It matches the Rfam family "Bacterial small subunit ribosomal RNA", at positions 524 to 776 of the family's 1533-position model. The record is from RNAcentral.